RNAcentral lists this ribosomal RNA (253 nucleotides) under uncultured bacterium. Its description in RNAcentral is "partial 16S ribosomal RNA". It matches the Rfam family "Bacterial small subunit ribosomal RNA", at positions 524 to 776 of the family's 1533-position model. The record is from RNAcentral.
UACGUAGGGAGCAAGCGUUGUCCGGAAUCAUUGGGCGUAAAGAGCGUGUAGGCGGCCCGGUAAGUCGGUUGUGAAAGUCAAGGGCUCAACCCUUGAAUGCCGACCGAUACUGCCGGGCUAGAAUCCGGAAGAGGCGAGUGGAAUUCCUGGUGUAGCGGUGAAAUGCGCAGAUAUCAGGAGGAACACCAAUGGCGAAGGCAGCUCGCUGGGACGGUAUUGACGCUGAGACGCGAAAGCGUGGGGAGCAAACAGG